GGGGAUGGAGCUCAGUGGAAGAGCGCCCACUUUGCAUGUGGGAGGUCCUGGGUUCAAUCCCUGGCAUCUCCA
Molecule: non-coding RNA, 72 nt
Organism: Harpia harpyja (harpy eagle)
Lineage: Eukaryota; Metazoa; Chordata; Aves; Accipitriformes; Accipitridae
Source: the annotation of a RefSeq genome assembly